RNAcentral lists this long non-coding RNA (281 nucleotides) under Lupinus angustifolius (narrow-leaved blue lupine). RNAcentral's name for it is "long non-coding RNA (LANG_LNC003419)". Lineage: Eukaryota; Viridiplantae; Streptophyta; Magnoliopsida; Fabales; Fabaceae. The record is from RNAcentral.
GCUAUGAGUUUGUGGCAUAUCCCAUCUUCAAGUAGAAGUAAUGUGUAUCUUCUAUUAAAAAAGUCUAACGCAUAAUGAAAUGGGGGAUUCUCUUCUUUUUGGCAGUCCUCGUAUGGUGCCACCAUCAUUCUUGCUUGGCUUCCACUUUAAUCCAUGUCACCCACAUCAACAUCUCCACCUCAAAUGGAUCAAAUGAAAUAUUACUCUUGAUAUUGUUACAUCUCAUGGUAUCAUUGAAUGGAGUCUCUUUCCUAUUCUCAAUUCUCAUCUUAAUUUUCCUU